ACUGAGUGGCGGACGGGUGAGUAACGCGUGGGUAACCUGCCUCAUACAGGGGGAUAACAGUUAGAAAUGACUGCUAAUACCUCAUAAGACCACAGUACCGCAUGGUACAGGGGUAAAAACUCCGGUGGUAUGAGAUGGACCCGCGUCUGAUUAGGUAGUUGGUGGGGUAACGGCCUACCAAGCCGACGAUCAGUAGCCGACCUGAGAGGGUGACCGGCCACAUUGGGACUGAGACACGGCCCAA
This 244-nucleotide ribosomal RNA is filed under the name uncultured bacterium. Its description in RNAcentral is "partial 16S ribosomal RNA". It matches the Rfam family "Bacterial small subunit ribosomal RNA", at positions 90 to 334 of the family's 1533-position model. The record is from RNAcentral.